UCACCGGAAACUCAAUUGGGAGAGUAUCAGACUAAAGAUCUGAUGGUCACGUGUUUGAUCCAUGUUCACUGCA
Molecule: transfer RNA, 73 nt
Filed under: Jatropha curcas
Lineage: Eukaryota; Viridiplantae; Streptophyta; Magnoliopsida; Malpighiales; Euphorbiaceae
Rfam family: tRNA
About the family: Transfer RNA (tRNA) molecules are approximately 80 nucleotides in length.
Source: Rfam by way of RNAcentral